AGAGUUUGAUCAUGGCUCAGAUUGAACGCUGGCGGCAUGCCUUACACAUGCAAGUCGAACGGUAACAGGUCUUCGGAUGCUGACGAGUGGCGAACGGGUGAGUAAUACAUCGGAACGUGCCCAGUCGUGGGGGAUAACGCAGCGAAAGCUGUGCUAAUACCGCAUACGAUCUAUGGAUGAAAGCGGGGGACCGUAAGGCCUCGCGCGAUUGGAGCGGCCGAUGUCAGAUUAGGUAGUUGGUGGGGUAAAGGCCCACCAAGCCAACGAUCUGUAGCUGGUCUGAGAGGACGACCAGCCACACUGGGACUGAGACACGGCCCAGACUCCUACGGGAGGCAGCAGUGGGGAAUAUUGGACAAUGGGCGAAAGCCUGAUCCAGCAAUGCCGCGUGCAGGAAGAAGGCCUUCGGGUUGUAAACUGCUUUUGUACGGAACGAAACGGUCUGGGUUAAUACCCUGGGCUAAUGACGGUACCGUAAGAAUAAGCACCGGCUAACUACGUGCCAGCAGCCGCGGUAAUA
RNAcentral lists this ribosomal RNA (520 nucleotides) under uncultured bacterium. RNAcentral describes it as "bacterial SSU rRNA". It matches the Rfam family "Bacterial small subunit ribosomal RNA", at positions 8 to 525 of the family's 1533-position model. The record is from RNAcentral.